UUGUCCUCAAUGUUUCAAGCAUAAAAUCACACUAAACAAAAGAAACACACAAACAGCAACUAAAACAACUAAAUGGCAGAUUCGAAAUAAAUAACAAAGUGAAGAGUUUUAGGAACGCAAAUCUGGAAUUGAAGUAAUUCCUUGGUCUUCCUUUGUUGAAUUGCAUGGGUUGCCUCCCAAGUAGCGCUUUCUUUAACGUCGUACAGCCGGACGAAAAACACAAUCAUGCCCCAUUGGAGCCCACGGCAUGGAGUGGUCUCCUCCACAACCUACAAAGUUCUUGUACAUUGCAUCCUUGAACGGAAAUGGAUAGUGAUGUUUGUUGAUGGGUGCGUUGUGUUGCCUAAGGUUCAUGUUCAUGCGCCCACCAUCGGAGAUUUGCUUGGGUACCUGCACCAAAGAAGGAAACCACCUAUCAACUUUAGUGGGAAUUGGAUUUGGACUAGGUGCCUUACCUUGGUGUUGUGAUGAAGUGGCAGCAACAUGAACUUUUUUUCUCAUGGUGUUCUCGGCCACAUUGGGUAUCUUAAGGGCAGUGGCCGUGGGGUCCUUAUGCUCUACUCCAAUUCCUCGUCUUGCAUGGCUCUUGAUGCAACCUUUGUGUUAGGGGCUGAAUGGUCUGUACCUAUCUUUUCUAUUGUAUCCAUAAUACAACAAGAACGAACAACGUUAGGAGUUUCAAUGGAUUCAGAAAUUUUAAAACAAAUCAUAUCACCACCAAAUGCCAUAGUUACUUCUCCUUUGGCCACAUCAAUCUUGGUUUGAGCCGUUUUCAUGAAGGGCCGUCCAAGGAGAAUGGGCAAUGAAGGAGCAUGAUCUGAUUCAUCCAUCUCAAGAAACAUAGAAAUCCGCCGGAAAGAUCAAAUGAUUAACCUGCACCAAAACAUCUUCCACAACUCCCUUUAGAUAUGCAUUAGAUCUAUCGGCCAAUUGUAUGAUUACACCAUCAUUUUUUUAACUUGCCUAGGUUCAUAGAUGCAUAAAUUGAAUAUGGCAUAACAUUUAUGGAUGCACCUAAGUCUAACAUGGCAGAUUUGAACCUAGUAUUACCAAUGACACAAGGAAUGGUGAAACUACCCGGAUCUUUGCAUUUAGGAGGUAGUUUACGUUGUAUCAUGGCAGACACAUUCUCACUUACCUGUACCACUUCUUUCUCCCGAAAACGUUUCUUUGUUGUACAAAGCUUCUUCAAAUACUUGGCGUACUUCGGGAUUUGCUUGAUUGCAUCCAAGAGAGGUAUGUUAACUUGAACCUUUCCUAAAAUUCUCUAGAACAUCUUUUUCCUCCUCUUCAUUCUUGAAUUGCAAAAAUCUGCUAGGAAAGGGCACAUUGGGUGGAAUAAAUGUUAGAAUUAACCAAACUUGGACUCAUCUUACCUAGUGUGGACGGAUUGGAUGGCUUAAGGGCCAUGGGUGCUUGCGGCAAAGGUGGUGCUACCUUUGCCGUGAGUUGGACUUGGUGUCUCCUCUUCAGAUUUCAACGUUUCAUCUCUUUGGGACCUGAUUUUGGUGGUGUAGGACCUGCCCCAACUUCUUUUCCACUCCUUAGCAUGAUUGCAUUGGCGGUUUCAAAA
RNAcentral lists this long non-coding RNA (1573 nucleotides) under Malus domestica (apple). RNAcentral's name for it is "long non-coding RNA (MDOM_LNC019815)". Lineage: Eukaryota; Viridiplantae; Streptophyta; Magnoliopsida; Rosales; Rosaceae. The record is from RNAcentral.